Molecule: ribosomal RNA, 465 nt
Filed under: uncultured bacterium
Lineage: Bacteria
Description: partial 16S ribosomal RNA
Rfam family: Bacterial small subunit ribosomal RNA
Source: RNAcentral
CCUACGUGGGGCAGCAGUGGGGAAUAUUGCGCAAUGGGCGAAAGCCUGACGCAGCGACGCCGCGUGAGGGAUGAAGGUCUUCGGAUCGUAAACCUCUGUCAGCAGGGAAGAACGGUCACUGUGCUAAUCAGCAGUGAAUUGACGGUACCUGCAAAGGAAGCACCGGCUAACUCCGUGCCAGCAGCCGCGGUAAUACGGAGGGUGCGAGCGUUAAUCGGAAUUACUGGGCGUAAAGCGCUCGUAGGCGGUAUGUCAAGUCAAGGGUGAAAUCCCCGCGCUCAACGUGGGAACUGCCUUUGAAACUGGCAAAAUGGAGUGUGUGAGAGGAUAGUGGAAUUCCAGGUGUAGGAGUGAAAUCCGUAGAUAUCUGGAGGAACAUCAGUGGCGAAGGCGACUAUCUGGCACAUAACUGACGCUGAGGAGCGAAAGCGUGGGUAGCAAACAGGAUUAGAUACCCUAGUAGUC